GUGGGGAAUCUUGCGCAAUGGGCGAAAGCCUGACGCAGCCAUGCCGCGUGGAUGAUGAAGGUCUUAGGAUUGUAAAAUCCUUUCACCGGUGAAGAUAAUGACUGUAGCCGGAGAAGAAGCCCCGGCUAACUUCGUGCCAGCAGCCGCGGUAAUACGAAGGGGGCUAGCGUUGCUCGGAAUUACUGGGCGUAAAGGGAGCGUAGGCGGACAUUUAAGUCAGGGGUGAAAUCCCGAGGCUCAACCUCGGAACUGCCUUUGAUACUGGGUGUCUUGAGUGUGAGAGAGGUGAGUGGAACUCCGAGUGUAGAGGUGAAAUUCGUAGAUAUUCGGAAGAACACCAGUGGCGAAGGCGACUCACUGGCUCAUUACUGACGCUGAGGCUCGAAAGCGUGGGGAGCAAACAGGAUUAGAAACCCUGGUAGUCC
This 425-nucleotide ribosomal RNA is filed under the name uncultured bacterium. RNAcentral's name for it is "partial 16S ribosomal RNA". It matches the Rfam family "Bacterial small subunit ribosomal RNA", at positions 354 to 796 of the family's 1533-position model. The record is from RNAcentral.